This 347-nucleotide unclassified non-coding RNA is filed under the name soil metagenome. Its description in RNAcentral is "partial contains 5.8S ribosomal RNA, internal transcribed spacer 2, and large subunit ribosomal RNA". The stretch from base 1 to 120 matches the Rfam family "5.8S ribosomal RNA", at positions 35 to 154 of the family's 154-position model. The record is from RNAcentral.
GAUGAAGAACGCAGUGAAAUGCGAUAACUAAUGUGAAUUGCAGAAUUCCGUGAAUCAUCGAGUCUUUGAACGCACAUUGCGCCCCCUGGUAUUCCGGGGGGCAUGCCUGUCCGAGCGUCAUUGCUGCCCAUCAAGCACGGCUUGUGUGUUGGGUCCCGUCCCCCUCUCCCGGGGGACGGACCCGAAAGGCAGCGGCGGCACCGCGUCCGGUCCUCGAGCGUAUGGGGCUUUGUCACCCGCUCUUGUAGGCCCGGCCGGCGCUUGCCGACACCCAACCAUUUUUUUCAGGUUGACCUCGGAUCAGGUAGGGAUACCCGCUGAACUUAAGCAUAUCAAUAAGCGGAGGA